RNAcentral lists this ribosomal RNA (397 nucleotides) under uncultured bacterium. RNAcentral's name for it is "partial 16S ribosomal RNA". It matches the Rfam family "Bacterial small subunit ribosomal RNA", at positions 338 to 732 of the family's 1533-position model. The record is from RNAcentral.
CCUACGGGUGGCAGCAGUGAGGAAUAUUGGUCAAUGGUCGGGAGACUGAACCAGCCAAGCCGCGUGCAGGAUGAAGGUACAGAGUAUCGUAAACUUCUUUUGUCAGGGAACAAAGGCGGGGACGUGUACCCGGAUGAGUGUAUCGGACGAAAAAGCAUCGGCUAACUCCGUGCCAGCAGCCGCGGUAAUACGGAGGAUGCGAGCGUUAUCCGGAUUUAUUGGGUUUAAAGGGUGCGUAGGCGGUCCGAUAAGUCAGAGGGGAAAUCCCGGGGCUCAACCCCGGCACCGCCGUUGAUACGGGCGGGCUAGAGUUGAGUUGAGGUAGGCGGAAUGCACGGUGUAGCGGUGAAAUGCAUAGAGAUCGUACAGAACACCGAUUGCGAAGGCAGCAUGCCAA